RNAcentral lists this transfer RNA (65 nucleotides) under Stilicoderus aquilinus. RNAcentral describes it as "tRNA-Trp". Lineage: Eukaryota; Metazoa; Arthropoda; Insecta; Coleoptera; Staphylinidae. The record is from RNAcentral.
AAGGAUUUAAGUUAAAUAAACUCGUAGCCUUCAAAGCUAUCAAUAAAGUCCCUCUUUAAGCCUUA